UCCGAGUUGACCCCGGCAGUCUUCUAUGAGUCCCCGCCAUUACGCGCUGGCAACAUAGAACGAGGGUUGCGCUCGUUGCGGGACUUAACCCAACAUCUCACGACACGAGCUGACGACAACCAUGCACCACCUGUAUACCGACCUUGCGGGGCACCCAUCUCUGGGUGUUUCCGGUAUAUGUCAAGCCUUGGUAAGGUUCUUCGCGUUGCAUCGAAUUAAUCCGCAUGCUCCGCCGCUUGUGCGGGCCCCCGUCAAUUCCUUUGAGUUUUAGCCUUGCGGCCGUACUCCCCAGGCGGGGCGCUUAAUGCGUUAGCUGCGGCACGGAACUCGUGGAAUGAGUCCCACACCUAGCGCCCAACGUUUACGGCAUGGACUAC
RNAcentral lists this unclassified non-coding RNA (377 nucleotides) under uncultured Intrasporangiaceae bacterium. RNAcentral's name for it is "contains 16S-23S intergenic spacer region". The record is from RNAcentral. Lineage: Bacteria; Bacillati; Actinomycetota; Actinomycetes; Micrococcales; Intrasporangiaceae.